RNAcentral lists this ribosomal RNA (274 nucleotides) under uncultured bacterium. RNAcentral's name for it is "partial 16S ribosomal RNA". It matches the Rfam family "Bacterial small subunit ribosomal RNA", at positions 523 to 796 of the family's 1533-position model. The record is from RNAcentral.
AUACGGAGGGGGUUAGCGUUGUUCGGAAUUACUGGGCGUAAAGCGCACGUAGGCGGACUGGAAAGUUGGGGGAGAAAUCCCGGGGCUCAACCCGGGAACUGCCUCCAAAACUUCCAAUCUAGAGAUCGAGAGAGGUGAGUGGAAUUCCAAGUGUAGAGGUGAAAUUCGUAGAUAUUUGGAGGAACACCAGUGGCGAAGGCGGCUCACUGGCUCGAUACUGACGCUGAGGUGCGAAAGCGUGGGGAGCAAACAGGAUUAGAAACCCUAGUAGUCC